GACGAACGCUGGCGGCGUGCCUAACACAUGCAAGUCGAACGAAGCAUAGCAAUAUGCUUAGUGGCGGACGGGUGAGUAACGCGUGAACAAUCUGCCCUGUACAAAGGAAUAGCCUCGGGAAACCGGGAUUAAAACCGUAUGACACUUUAGUAUCGCAUGAUAAGAAAGUCAAAUCGAUUAGAGGUAUGGGAUGAGUUCGCGUCUGAUUAGCUGGUUGGCGGGGUAACGGCCCACCAAGGCGACGAUCAGUAGCCGGCCUGAGAGGGUGAACGGCCACACUGGAACUGAGACACGGUCCAGACUCCUACGGGAGGCAGCAGUGGGGAAUAUUGGACAAUGGGGGAAACCCUGAUCCAGCCAUUCCGCGUGAGUGAAGAAGGCCUUCGGUUGUAAAGCUCUUUCAGCAGGAACGAAACGGACAGGCUUUAAUACUAGCCUGCUAAUGACGGUACCUAGCAGAAGAAGCACCGGCUAACUAACGUGCCAGCAGCGCGG
Molecule: ribosomal RNA, 495 nt
Filed under: uncultured bacterium
Lineage: Bacteria
Description: bacterial SSU rRNA
Rfam family: Bacterial small subunit ribosomal RNA
Source: RNAcentral